This 231-nucleotide unclassified non-coding RNA is filed under the name Hevea brasiliensis (rubber tree). Lineage: Eukaryota; Viridiplantae; Streptophyta; Magnoliopsida; Malpighiales; Euphorbiaceae. The record is from RNAcentral.
GUAAAAUCAUCUUUUGGAGAACAUAAAAUAUGUAUCAAUAAAGUCAUUUUAUCAACAUAAAUAUGUAGAAACAUUUAAUAGUUUAAUACUAGUUGUGCACAAACCUAUUUAUUUCCAAUUUAGGUGAAUUUGGUUCCUAAGUCAACACUUCUACCUUGCUCCUUUGGAACUACUGUCAUAUAAAAAACUACAGACAGUUCAGAAUAAAUUCAUUGAUUAUUUUUAAUAAGC